AAGUUCAGCAGCAUGUACAGUAAAACUGGAACACAGAGAUACCAGAGCCCCUAUGCAAGGGUGACACCCAAAUUUGUGAAGCAUUCUGUAUUUUU
RNAcentral lists this small nuclear RNA (95 nucleotides) under Heterocephalus glaber (naked mole-rat). The record is from RNAcentral. Lineage: Eukaryota; Metazoa; Chordata; Mammalia; Rodentia; Bathyergidae.